This 104-nucleotide small nucleolar RNA is filed under the name Ipomoea nil (Japanese morning glory). Lineage: Eukaryota; Viridiplantae; Streptophyta; Magnoliopsida; Solanales; Convolvulaceae. The record is from RNAcentral.
GAAUGCUCAUGUCUUUUUUAUGUCUCCCCCAAACACUGAAUCAGGAUUUAAUGCUUGCUCUCCAUGUUAUAUGGGUAUGCAAGUUUGGCUUUUCUGUUACAUUU